RNAcentral lists this ribosomal RNA (237 nucleotides) under uncultured Staphylococcus sp. RNAcentral describes it as "partial 16S ribosomal RNA". It matches the Rfam family "Bacterial small subunit ribosomal RNA", at positions 104 to 334 of the family's 1533-position model. The record is from RNAcentral. Lineage: Bacteria; Bacillati; Bacillota; Bacilli; Caryophanales; Staphylococcaceae.
GGGGUGAGUAACACGUGGAUAACCUACCUAUAAGACUGGGAUAACUUCGGGAAACCGGAGCUAAUACCGGAUAAUAUAUUGAACCGCAUGGUUCAAUAGUGAAAGACUGUUUUGCUGUCACUUAUAGAUGGAUCCGCGCCGCAUUAGCUAGUUGGUAAGGUAACGGCUUACCAAUGCGACGAUGCGUAGCCGACCUGAGAGGGUGAUCGGCCACACUGGAACUGAGACACGGUCCAG